Molecule: ribosomal RNA, 413 nt
Filed under: Streptomyces sp. SID9944
Lineage: Bacteria; Bacillati; Actinomycetota; Actinomycetes; Kitasatosporales; Streptomycetaceae
Description: bacterial SSU rRNA
Rfam family: Bacterial small subunit ribosomal RNA
Source: RNAcentral
CAUUCACGGAGAGUUUGAUCCUGGCUCAGGACGAACGCUGGCGGCGUGCUUAACACAUGCAAGUCGAACGAUGAACCACUUCGGUGGGGAUUAGUGGCGAACGGGUGAGUAACACGUGGGCAAUCUGCCCUGCACUCUGGGACAAGCCCUGGAAACGGGGUCUAAUACCGGAUACAACCACUGACCGCAUGGUCGGGUGGUGGAAAGCUCCGGCGGUGCAGGAUGAGCCCGCGGCCUAUCAGCUUGUUGGUGAGGUAAUGGCUCACCAAGGCGACGACGGGUAGCCGGCCUGAGAGGGCGACCGGCCACACUGGGACUGAGACACGGCCCAGACUCCUACGGGAGGCAGCAGUGGGGAAUAUUGCACAAUGGGCGAAAGCCUGAUGCAGCGACGCCGCGUGAGGGAUGACGGC